UUAUUAGCAGCAUGAGAACAGACCAGUACACAGACAUUUACCUGGGAUUAACUGAACUGAUUAUUUUUUUCUUUAUUUUACUGAAAUGAGAAGUAGUAACAUUUUAGUAGAAUUAUAAAAUGUUGAAUUGGAAUCAGUUUGCAGUGCAUGUAAAAUGUGAUUAAGAGAUCUGCAUAAACAAGUCAGUAACUUUGUUUUCUUUUGGUACCAAAAGGUGAUUUUUUAAGAUGUUUCAACCUGUGACAGUCAUUGAUUUCAGGUGACAAAAUACCUUGUAUUUUAGAUGCAUGCCAGAUAGUUGGAUAAGUCGUACUUGAAUGUGAUAAGUCUGGAUUUCCCUAGAGGUAGUAUGACUCUAGAAUUUAUUAUAAAAAGCGUGAGCCACCACGCCCAGCCAGUCACCCUUCUUAUGAAUGAGGAGGAUAAUUGUGACAGUCAUUUAAGACAGGAAAAUUGACAGCUUCUUAUCGAUAUUUUUAAGAAAUUUCCCAAAAAUGCCAGGCACGAUGGCUCACGCCUGUAAUCCCAACACUUUGGGAGGCCGAGGCGGGUGGAUUACCUGAGGUCAGGAGUUCGAGACCAGCCUGGCCAACAUAGUAAAACACAGUCUCAACUAAAAAUACAAAAAUUAGCAGGGUGGCGUGGUGGGAUGCACCUGUAGUCCCAGCUACUCAGGAGGCUGAGGCAGGAGAAUUGCUUGAACGCAGGAGGCAAGAGGUGGCAGUGAGCCGAGAUUGCGCCACUGCAUCCUGGGCGACAGAGCAAGACUCUGUCUC
This 776-nucleotide long non-coding RNA is filed under the name Homo sapiens (human). RNAcentral's name for it is "HSALNT0060965". Lineage: Eukaryota; Metazoa; Chordata; Mammalia; Primates; Hominidae. The record is from RNAcentral.